AUUGAACGCUGGCGGCAUGCCUUACACAUGCAAGUCGAACGGUAACAGGUCUUCGGAUGCUGACGAGUGGCGAACGGGUGAGUAAUACAUCGGAACGUGCCCGAUCGUGGGGGAUAACGGAGCGAAAGCUUUGCUAAUACCGCAUACGAUCUACGGAUGAAAGCAGGGGACCGCAAGGCCUUGCGCGGACGGAGCGGCCGAUGGCAGAUUAGGUAGUUGGUGGGAUAAAAGCUUACCAAGCCGACGAUCUGUAGCUGGUCUGAGAGGACGACCAGCCACACUGGGACUGAGACACGGCCCAGACUCCUACGGGAGGCAGCAGUGGGGAAUUUUGGACAAUGGGCGCAAGCCUGAUCCAGCCAUGCCGCGUGCAGGAUGAAGGCCUUCGGGUUGUAAACUGCUUUUGUACGGUAACGAAAAGACUCUUUCUAAUAAAGAGGGUCCAUGACGGUACGUAAGAAUAAGCACCGGCUAACUACGUGCCAGCAGCCGAC
RNAcentral lists this ribosomal RNA (494 nucleotides) under uncultured bacterium. Its description in RNAcentral is "bacterial SSU rRNA". It matches the Rfam family "Bacterial small subunit ribosomal RNA", at positions 30 to 518 of the family's 1533-position model. The record is from RNAcentral.